UCCUGGCUCAGGAUGAACGCUGGCGGCGUGCCUAACACAUGCAAGUCGAACGGGCGCGGCGUGCGGCAGGGGCCUCGGCCCCUGCGGCGCCGCGCGAGUGGCGGACGGGUGAGUAACGCGUGGGCAACCUGCCCUGUACUGGGGGAUAACACCUGGAAACAGGUGCUGAUACCGCAUAAGCGCGCUGUGCCGCAUGGCGCGGCGCGGAAAACCCCGGUGGUACAGGAUGGGCCCGCGUCUGAUUAGCUGGUUGGCAGGGUAACGGCCUACCAAGGCGACGAUCAGUAGCCGGCCUGAGAGGGUGGACGGCCACAUUGGGACUGAGACACGGCCCAAACUCCUACGGGAGGCAGCAGUGGGGAAUAUUGCACAAUGGGGGAAACCCUGAUGCAGCGACGCCGCGUGAGUGAAGAAGUAUCUCGGUACGUAAAGCUCUAUCAGCAGGGAAGAAAAUGACGGUACCUGACUAAGAAGCCCCGGCUAACUACGUGCCAGCAGCCGCGGUAAUACGUAGGGGGCAAGCGUUAUCCGGAUUUACUGGGUGUAAAGGGAGCGUAGACGGCAGCACAAGUCUGGAGUGAAAUCCCGGGGCUUAACCCCGGAACUGCUUUGGAAACUGUGCGGCUGGAGUGCAGGAGGGGUAAGCGGAAUUCCUAGUGUAGCGGUGAAAUGCGUAGAUAUUAGGAGGAACACCGGUGGCGAAGGCGGCUUACUGGACUGUAACUGACGUUGAGGCUCGAAAGCGUGGGGAGCAAACAGGAUUAGAUACCCUGGUAGUCCACACCGUAAACGAUGGAUACUAGGUGUAGGGGAUGAAUAAUCUUCUGUGCCGUCGCAAACGCAGUAAGUAUCCCACCUGGGGAGUACGGCCGCAAGGUUGAAACUCAAAGGAAUUGACGGGGGCCCGCACAAGCAGUGGAGUAUGUGGUUUAAUUCGACGCAACGCGAAGAACCUUACCAGGGCUUGACAUAUACAUGAAAGUCUAAGAGAUUAGACCCCUCUUCGGAGCGUGUAUACAGGUGGUGCAUGGUUGUCGUCAGCUCGUGUCGUGAGAUGUUGGGUUAAGUCCCGCAACGAGCGCAACCCUUAUCCUUAGUAGCCAGCGGGCGGGGCCGGGCACUCUAGGGAGACUGCCGGGGAUAACCCGGAGGAAGGUGGGGAUGACGUCAAAUCAUCAUGCCCCUUAUGAUUUGGGCUACACACGUGCUACAAUGGCGUAAACAGAGGGAAGCGAACCCGCGAGGGGGAGCAAAUCCCAAAAAUAACGUCCCAGUUCGGAUUGUAGCCUGCAACCCGGCUACAUGAAGCUGGAAUCGCUAGUAAUCGCGGAUCAGAAUGCCGCGGUGAAUACGUUCCCGGGUCUUGCACACACCGCCCGUCA
This 1382-nucleotide ribosomal RNA is filed under the name uncultured bacterium. Its description in RNAcentral is "bacterial SSU rRNA". It matches the Rfam family "Bacterial small subunit ribosomal RNA". The record is from RNAcentral.